This 454-nucleotide ribosomal RNA is filed under the name uncultured bacterium. Its description in RNAcentral is "partial 16S ribosomal RNA". It matches the Rfam family "Bacterial small subunit ribosomal RNA", at positions 28 to 507 of the family's 1533-position model. The record is from RNAcentral.
GAUGAACGCUGACAGAAUGCUUAACACAUGCAAGUCUACUUGAACUUCGGUUUGGGUGGCGGACGGGUGAGUAACGCGUAAAGAACUUGCCUCACAGUUAGGGACAACAUUUGGAAACGAAUGCUAAUACCUGAUAUUAUGAUCUUAGGGCAUCCUCAAAUUAUGAAAGCUAUAUGCGCUGUGAGAGAGCUUUGCGUCCCAUUAGCUAGUUGGAGAGGUAACGGCUCACCAAGGCGAUGAUGGGUAGCCGGCCUGAGAGGGUGAACGGCCACAAGGGGACUGAGACACGGCCCUUACUCAUACGGGAGGCAGCAGUGGGGAAUAUUGGACAAAGGACCAAAAGUCUGAUCCAGCAAUUCUGUGUGCACGAUGACGUUUUUCGGAAUGUAAAGUGCUUUCAGUUGGGAAGAAAAAAAUGACGGUACCAACAGAAGAAGUGACGGCUAAAUACGUG